GAGUUUGAUCCUGGCUCAGGAUGAACGCUGCCGUUCGUGCCUAAUACAUGCAAGUCGAGCGAAUGGAUUAAGAGCUUGCUCUUAUGAAGUUAGCGGCGGACGGGUGAGUAACACGUGGGUAACCUGCCCAUAAGACUGGGAUAACUCCGGGAAACCGGGGCUAAUACCGGAUAACAUUUUGAACCGCAUGGUUCAAAAUUGAAAGGCGGCUUCGGCUGUCACUUAUGGAUGGACCCGCGUCGCAUUAGCUAGUUGGUGAGGUAACGGCUCACCAAGGCAACGAUGCGUAGCCGACCAGAGAGGGUGAUCGGCCACACUGGGACUGAGACACGGCCCACACUCCUACGGAAGGCACCAGUAAGGAAUCGUCCUCAAUGGACGAUAGUCUGACGGAUCACCGCCGCGAGAAGCAGGAUUGCUUCACCGGCCAACACUCACGGACAGACGGGCUGCGAACUGCUCUCUCAAGUCGUCCGUCUCUAUGAAGAUACCUACGCUCGUGCCUUCGACAAUGGCCAUGCUCACCCCCUCAGUCAAAUCCCUAUUCCUUCCUCAACAGGCCGACUGACACACAAGAUAUAGCAGUGAGCAAUAGGCACAUAAAGCUCACAACCAUCAAACGCACAUCGCUGGGCCUGUCCUAUACUCACCGCAGAGACAGCCUCGAGAAUCAUAGUUAAUCAGACUGUCUAAGCCUAACUGUCUCGAAGAGACAUGGGUUACCCCUGGCGGUCUCUAGUGUCUCCGUGUCCUACCCGCAGCUACGAACUCUAUCAAAAGUCUCCGUCUGCAGCGUGAGAUUCACUAGUCACGUAAUACAUUCGAUCCUUCAGCUAUUCUCACGAACUGUAGUGGACGACUCUCGAUUAGCCACCCUGCGAUAUCGGUAUACUAGCGAUUCCAGCUUCAUGUAGGCGAGUUGCAGCCUACAAUCCGAACUGAGAACGGUUUUAUGAGAUUAGCUCCACCUCGCGGUCUUCAGCUCUUUGUACCGUCCAUUGUAGCACGUGUGUAGCCCACGUCAUAAGGGGCAUGAUGAUUUGACGUCCUCCCCACCUUCCGCCGGUUCGGCACCGGCAGUCACCUUACAUUGCCCAACUAAAUGAUGGCAACUAAGAUCAAGGGUUGCCCUCGUUGCCCGACGUAACACAGAAUCUCUCGACAAGUUCUGACGACCACCAUACACCGCCUGUUAUAGUGCUCCCGAAGGAGAGCCUAUAUCUCGAGGGAAGUCACAUUAAGUUACGAUUUCUCAACGACCUCUUCAUAAUAGCGAAUUCUUUAGCGCUUACUACAUAUAUGAAUUUGA
This 1309-nucleotide ribosomal RNA is filed under the name uncultured bacterium. RNAcentral describes it as "partial 16S ribosomal RNA". The stretch from base 1 to 421 matches the Rfam family "Bacterial small subunit ribosomal RNA", at positions 9 to 546 of the family's 1533-position model. The record is from RNAcentral.